UGAGGAAUAUUGGUCAAUGGGGGCAACCCUGAACCAGCCAAGUCGCGUGAAGGAUGAAGGUCUUAUGGAUUGUAAACUUCUUUUAUACAGGAAUAAAUUGGGGGACGUGUCCCCUUUUGCAUGUACUGUAUGAAUAAGGAUCGGCUAACUCCGUGCCAGCAGCCGCGGUAAUACGGAGGAUCCGAGCGUUAUCCGGAUUUAUUGGGUUUAAAGGGUGCGUAGGCGGAAAGAUAAGUCAGCCUGUGAAAGUUUGCGGCUCAACCGUAAAAUUGCAGUUGAUACUGUUUUUCUUGAGUGUACAUAAGGUAGGCGGAAUUCGUGGUGUAGCGGUGAAAUGCUUAGAUAUCACGAAGAACUCCGAUUGCGAAGGCAGCUUACCGGGGUACAACUGACGCUGAUGCACGAAAGUGUGGGUAUCAAACA
This 423-nucleotide ribosomal RNA is filed under the name uncultured bacterium. RNAcentral's name for it is "bacterial SSU rRNA". It matches the Rfam family "Bacterial small subunit ribosomal RNA", at positions 355 to 774 of the family's 1533-position model. The record is from RNAcentral.